AUGGACCUGGGGCGCCUGAACUAUGGGAUCAUUACCCUCAUCCCAAAGGUUCCGGGGGCCUCGGACAUCCGCCAGUUCCGCCCGAUCACUGUGAUUAACGUGAUCUUCAGGAUCCUGGCCAAAGGAUACGCCAAUAGGGUGACCCUUCUUGCGGACUCUGUCACCCACCCCAACCAAUCCGCCUUCAUUCAAGGCUGAUUUAUUUUGGAUGGGGUGUUGGUCUUUCACGAAGUCCUCCACGAAGUCCGAUCCAAGCACCACCGCGCGGUGUUCCUUAAGCUCGACUUCCAUAAGGCCUACGACACGGUCCACUGGCCCUUCCUUCGGGAAGUAUUG
This 336-nucleotide ribosomal RNA is filed under the name Triticum aestivum (bread wheat). Its description in RNAcentral is "partial small subunit ribosomal RNA". The record is from RNAcentral. Lineage: Eukaryota; Viridiplantae; Streptophyta; Magnoliopsida; Poales; Poaceae.